This 585-nucleotide ribosomal RNA is filed under the name uncultured bacterium. RNAcentral's name for it is "partial 16S ribosomal RNA". It matches the Rfam family "Bacterial small subunit ribosomal RNA", at positions 355 to 1375 of the family's 1533-position model. The record is from RNAcentral.
UGGGGAAUUUUGGACAAUGGGCGAAAGCCUGAUCCAGCAAUGCCGCGUGUGUGAAGAAGGCCUUCGGGUUGUAAAGCACUUUUGUCCGGAAAGAAAUCCUUGGCUCUAAUACAGUCGGGGGAUGACGGUACCGGAAGAAUAAGCACCGGCUAACUACGUGCCAGCAGCCGCGGUAAUACGUAGGGUGCAAGCGUUAAUCGGAAUUACUGGGCGUAAAGCGUGCGCAGGCGGCUCGCUAAGACCGAUGUGAAAUCCCCGGGCUCAACCUGGGAACUGCAUUGGUGACUGGCAGGCUAGAGUAUGGCAGAGGGGGGUAGAAUUCCACGUGUAGCAGUGAAAUGCGUAGAGAUGUGGAGGAAUACCGAUGGCGAAGGCAGCCCCCUGGGCCAAUACUGACGCUCAUGCACGAAAGCGUGGGGAGCAAACAGGAUUAGAUACCCUGGUAGUCCACGCCCUAAACGAUGUCAACUAGUUGUUGGGGAUUCAUUUCCUUAGUAACGUAGCUAACGCGUGAAGUUGACCGCCUGGGGAGUACGGUCGCAAGAUUAAAACUCAAAUGAAUUGACGGGGUCAUAGCUGUUUCCU